Long non-coding RNA from Marmota monax (woodchuck), 3471 nucleotides. RefSeq lists it as uncharacterized. Lineage: Eukaryota; Metazoa; Chordata; Mammalia; Rodentia; Sciuridae. The transcript is spliced from 3 exons. The record is from RefSeq and is a predicted model, not a curated record.
CCGGGGCGCCCCCACCGCGUCGCGGCACAGAGAGCGACCGCAGGGACCCCGAGCGGGAGAAGGCGCGAGGGCGCCGGCCGGGACGGGAGGCGGAGUAGGUGUGUGAGAGAGGGAGACUGGGAGCGGGAAGGAGCCGACCCGAACAGGCUGCGACUUCUCCCAGUCACUAGUCCCCACAACUCUCCAGCUCCCUCCUCCGAGCUCCCCGCCCUCCGACUCCGGCGGCACCUCCCCCUCGCCAGCCAAGUUAUAGAGGAGCGGGAGGGGGAGGGAGCGCGGGGACCCGACGGCCACGCGCGCGCGGCCGCGCGCACGCGCACUGCCCGCUCCGGGCGGGAGAGCUGCGGCGGCGCCGGUCAGCCGGUUGCGAGCAAGCGAGCGUCCGUGAAGAAAGGAGAGGAGGAACUCACGCAAGGGGAAGAGGAGCUGAGAUGUCUCACACCCAAAAGUAGCAACAGUGUAGGAAGGUGGGAAGGAUGAAGCGCCCGCGCGUCCUUGACGCCGCACGCCCCUGCUCGUACUCGCGGACUCUCCAGAGAGAGCGACGGGGGGCCGGAGGCGGGGCCGGCAAGGCGGAGCGAGCGCGACGCGCGCUGCCCGGAAAGCGUACCUGCCGUAUUGACCUAUCCACUGAGAUGAACAUUAGGCACCUCAGACCCAACUAUGGCUCUCCCAGAACCCUGCGUCAGCUCCUUAUCCUUAUCAUGGUUGAUGGCUAAAUUCCAAGACAUUCUUAUUUCCUCUCUCCUUCACACCCUAGAUCCAGCUUAUCAAAAGAACUUUGGGUGUUUCAGUUCUUCAGUGGUCUCUUAAGAAUCUGACCAGGUGUCCCCUCAGAAGCUGUCUUUGAUUGUUCCAUCUAAAGCUGCAUGGCUCCCUGUUGAGAGCCACAGCUGAAGGGGCCCCAGCAAACUUCCAGCUGCCAGCAAACUUCCAGCUGCCUGCUGAUGAUUGGCUCACAGCAGCCCCAGCAACAUCUAGCUGAUUGGCUCCUCUGCGGUGAUGCUCAUUGGGCUGUUUCCCUGCCCUUUCAGACCACGGAGCUGCUCAUUGGGGGACUUUUUUGGCUCCGCCCACGUGACCCAGCCGAUCGGCCUCAAGAGCAGGAGGAUUGCGGGAGGUGGAGAGAAGCUUGUGUGGGAGAGAGAGGCUUGUGGAAAGCCGGUGGUGGCAGUUGAGGCUCUGAGGGUUUUUCCUGAGAGGCUGUUUUGUUUGGCGUGUGUGGUUCUAAAAAUAAAGUUAAUUUCUUUUGACAAGUGGCUCCUGAUUGUGCCCAGCCAGACUGCGGCAGCUCCCCACCAUUCAGUUCCUUUUUACUCCUUGAUUUAUUUUCUUCAUCACAAGUAUUACUUUUUGUUUUCAUACUAUAUUCCCUAUUAUCAUGGUGCCCCAUCUUGUCCCUUCCAGAGGAACAGGAGCUUUGUCAUGGCUCCAUCCCCAAGGCCUGAGACACUACCCAACACAGUACCCAGGGCUUAGACAGAAAUGAGCACUUUUGAGUGAUUGGAUUAAUGCAUUUAUUUAAAUAGUCAUCACUUCAAAAUUGAGGUAAAAUAAUUUUAACACAUGUAAUACUAGCUUAAUGAGUCAUUUUGCUUUGGAAAUUUUUCAUUCAGCUAAAAUUGUGGGCCAGUGUUUGUUAUGCUGGGGGAAUCAAACUGUGCAUACUUGGUGGCACAUGCAGGCAUUUCAAAGGCUGAAGAAAACAGAAUUUAGUCUCCAUCCACAGUAAUGGUUCACAGCCUAGGCCACAAAUUAGAAUCACCUGGAAAAAUUAUAAAAGUCUGAUGACUAGGCUGACCUCUAUAACACAUAAUGCAAAACUUUUUGAGAGUUGGAUCUGAGACUCCAUUAACAUUUUUAAAAGAAUUUCCUCAGCAAAUUACAUGGGCAGUCAGAUUGAAAAACACUUAUUUGUGAGAGAUUUCUUUUCUCAAAAAUUAUUUCCAGUGCUGACAACAGUAUAGGGAGUAUUUAUAUACUUGUUAAAUGAAUUAAUGAGUGAAUGAAUGAAUGUAAAGAGUGUUGAUAGCUGACUGAACUCAUGAACACCAUUUGAAGAGUCUACUAAUGGGUUGCCAAAUUUGGCAAACAAACAAAAUAACCAAAAAGACUCCCCCAUUAAAUUUGAAAUUUAAAUAAAGAACUUUUGGGAAAUGUAUGUCUCAAAUAUUAUAUGGGCAUAACUAAAGAAUGACUUUAUUAUUUACCUGUGAUUCAGAUUUAACUGGACAUACUGUAUUUUAUCUGGCAACUCUACUGAUGAGAGAACAGUUAAGAUUCUUUUGUAAAAAUCAGUAUUUUAUUAAAAAUGUUAAACAAUUUGGUAUCAAAAUGGUGAUUUAAUCUCUUCUAUCUUCUGCUAUCCAAAGCUACCAAAAAACAGUCCAUCAUCUUUAUGAAUAAAAGGAACUUUACCUUUUGAAGAUUUUAAUACAACAAUAAUAAAAAUAAGAUAAAUUAUUGUGUUCUAAACAUUUGCCAUGUGAAUUUAGAAUUUAAAUCUUUCAGCACCUGUUUUUGAAUUAUCAAAUGUUGUACCCAAGAGUAGGAAAAAGCAAAGUUAAGCACAAAAUACACUUUCAGCAUAGCCUGUGAAUCGGGGACUACAUCACAGGUCUUGGGCUUUGAAUUCUUGGUCCCUACGAUGUGUGAGAAAGAUUGCAAUAUUUCAGGCAACAGACCUUUAUUUCUCCUAAGCUAUUUUCUUCUUGUUACACAACUAAAACAAAUUUACAUGAUAGUAAUGAAUAAGACCUGACUUUAAUGCUGGGAAAAUAAAAUUAUCAGAGCAAAUCAGUUGAAUAAUUUAUCAUGCAAGUAAAAGCCUCAGUAUACUUUUCCUUAAAGACCCAUAAAAGCUCCCAUCAAUCCUUUGUAAAUGUCAGACAAACAUGUGUCUACCACCAGGUGGCGUGCUCACAAGUUCAGAAAUUCUCCAGUGAGUUGGUGACCCAAAGAAGUUAUCAAUUAUGGUUCCUUUUGAGCAUGGAAAGAAUGGAAUGAAGAAAGUGCAAAAUAGAAAAAGCUGGUCACUAGCAUUCACAUUUCAAAUAUUUUCUUUUCCCAACCAGAUUGCUAAGUACAAACUAGUUCCUAAGCUUCCCGCAGACUUUUCAAAGUGCCUACCUAGAGUUAGAUCAUCAACAGAUAUUUGAUCUUAUCUGAACACUGUCUUUUGUAGUAUGAAGACAUUUUCCUUAAAAUUUGUCCAAAUGUUGUCAUAAAAACCAAAGGUUUUCAUCAGUUUUCCUUGGCAUAUGUAAUUUUCUUCAUGGAAAUUUUAGAAACCAUCCCUAAUUUUAAUGAUUGAUGGCCAAAGAAAAUAUUAAAAUCAGAAGAGGAAGAAAAGUCAAUCCAGAUAAAAAUUCUUAUCUACCUAUCCCUUAAUAUUGAGACUAUUUGGGCAAAGGAAAAAAUCAGGCAAACUCUGUUGCUCAGGCUGAUGGUCUAUGGUAUAGAAACAGGCUG